CAAAAUUUUGACGGGACGUAUUAUGGUAUACAAAUGUCCGGUGUCCGUCCGUCUGUCUGUCUGUCCGUCUGUCUGUCCGGCGUAAACAUGUCGCACCGUAACUUGAGAACGACUUAUCCAAAUUUCAUGAAACUUAAUAUAGUUGUUUCUUAUAAUGGUCAAAUGAUCUGUAUACUUUUUGGUGAAAAUAAGAUUUAAACUUUUUGAGUUACGGCACUUUGUAACUAAAACAGUGG
RNAcentral lists this long non-coding RNA (236 nucleotides) under Mytilus galloprovincialis (Mediterranean mussel). The record is from RNAcentral. Lineage: Eukaryota; Metazoa; Mollusca; Bivalvia; Mytilida; Mytilidae.